UACGAAGGGAGCUAGCGUUGUUCGGAAUUACUGGGCGUAAAGCGUGCGUAGACGGUUACGUAAGUCGGGUGUGAAAGCCCCGGGCUCAACCUGGGAAUUGCAUUCGAGACUGCGAAGCUAGGGUGCGGAAGAGGGAAGCGGAAUUUCCGGUGUAGCGGUGAAAUGCGUAGAUAUCGGAAGGAACAUCAGUGGCGAAAGCGGCUUCCUGGUCCAGCACCGACGUUCAGGCACGAAAGCGUGGGGAGCAAACAGG
This 253-nucleotide ribosomal RNA is filed under the name uncultured bacterium. RNAcentral's name for it is "partial 16S ribosomal RNA". It matches the Rfam family "Bacterial small subunit ribosomal RNA", at positions 524 to 776 of the family's 1533-position model. The record is from RNAcentral.